AUGCGGCGGGAGAGGUGCGGCGCCCCCCACCCGCGUCGCCGCCAUGGAGGUGCUGCGGCGCUCCUCGGUCUUCGCCGCCGAGAUCAUGGACGCCUUUGACCGCUCGCCCACUGGCUGGUGGCUGCACUCUGCAGCUUCGGCCGCUUCCUGAAGGCUGCCUUCUUCGUGCUGCUGCCAGAGAGAUGAGCUGCCCACCUGGCAGUGGCCGCAGCCUGGCCCUCUGGGCCCAACGCAGGAGGCCCUCAGCACCCGAACACAUCUUCCUCCUCCCCACCCG
Molecule: small RNA, 277 nt
Filed under: Homo sapiens (human)
Lineage: Eukaryota; Metazoa; Chordata; Mammalia; Primates; Hominidae
Description: BCL2 family apoptosis regulator BOK
Source: RNAcentral